RNA transcript from Myotis lucifugus (little brown bat), 1115 nucleotides. It is a transcript of the gene named translin pseudogene, with no coding region annotated. The record is from RefSeq and is a predicted model, not a curated record. The transcript has a single exon. Lineage: Eukaryota; Metazoa; Chordata; Mammalia; Chiroptera; Vespertilionidae.
GCCGGCGCCAUGUCUGUGAGCGAGAUCUUCGUGGAGCUGCAGGGCUUUCUGGCUGCCGAGCAGGACAUCCGGGAGGAAAUCCGAAAAGUAGUGCAGAGUUUAGAACAAACAGCCCGGGAGAUUUUAACUCUACUGCAAGGGGUCCAUCAAGGUGCUGGGUUUCAGGACAUUCCAAAGAGGUGUUUGAAAGCUCGAGAACAUUUUGGUACCGUGAAAACACAUCUAAUGUCUUUGAAGACCAAGUUCCCUGCUGAACAGUAUUAUAAAUUUCAUGAGCACUGGAGGUUUGUGUUGCAGCGGCUGGUCUUCCUGGCGGCCUUUGUUGUGUACUUGGAAUCAGAAACACUAGUGACUUGAGAAGCAGUCACAGAAAUUCUUGGCACUGAGCCAGAUCGGGAGAAAGGAUUUCAUCUGGAUGUAGAAGAUUAUCUCUCAGGAGUUCUAAUUCUUGCUAGUGAACUGUCGAGGCUGUCUGUCAACAGUGUGACUGCUGGAGACUACUCCCGGCCCCUUCACAUCUCCACCUUCAUCAAUGAGCUGGAUUCCGGGUUCAGCCUCCUCAACCUGAAAAACGACUCCCUGAGGAAGCGCUACCAUGGCUUGAAGUACGACGUGAAGAGAGUGGAGGAGGUAGUCUAUGAUCUCUCCAUCCGAGGCUUCAAUAAGGAGACAGCAGCAGCUUGUGUGGAGAAAUAGGAGACUCUCCUCGGGCCUGGCCUUGCUGACCUCAGUGGUUGCCAGCGAGGCUGAGCGCAGGGCCUCUCACUGUAGUUACGGUGCCCUGUCGCUAAGCACCGCGAGUUAUUUUCUUAGCCAGUUGUGUGGUAUGUGUAUCAGAAUCGGAACACUUCUUUGGGGGUUAAAGAUUAGCCUUUACAAGGACAGGGUUUUUUUUGUUGUUGUUGUUUUAGUGAAUUUGCUCUGUAAUUCAGUUCUGUCAAAAGUACAAAUGUCAGUCUCUUGGUAAAGUUUAUUUCCUGCUUACCCUGAUGCUGUUGAUGUCCUGAUUGAGAAGUUUAUUGUCUUGUGAUCCUCGGUAUUUUCUAUAUCCAAAGUAGCCCCCAUACACAGGUAUGCAAACAGAUAAUUAAAAAGGAUGAUUGCUAACCAAAGGA